UGGGGAAUUUUGGACAAUGGGCGAAAGCCUGAUCCAGCAAUGCCGCGUGUGUGAAGAAGGCCUUCGGGUUGUAAAGCACUUUUGUCCGGAAAGAAAUGGCUCUGGUUAAUACCUGGGGUCGAUGACGGUACCGGAAGAAUAAGGACCGGCUAACUACGUGCCAGCAGCCGCGGUAAUACGUAGGGUCCAAGCGUUAAUCGGAAUUACUGGGCGUAAAGCGUGCGCAGGCGGUUGUGCAAUACCGAUGUGAAAUCCCCGAGCUUAACUUGGGAAUUGCAUUGGUGACUGCACGGCUAGAGUGUGUCAGAGGGGGGUAGAAUUCCACGUGUAGCAGUGAAAUGCGUAGAGAUGUGGAGGAAUACCGAUGGCGAAGGCAGCCCCCUGGGAUAACACUGACGCUCAUGCACGAAAGCGUGGGGAGCAAACAGG
RNAcentral lists this ribosomal RNA (429 nucleotides) under Bacillota bacterium. RNAcentral describes it as "Firmicutes bacterium partial 16S ribosomal RNA". It matches the Rfam family "Bacterial small subunit ribosomal RNA", at positions 355 to 776 of the family's 1533-position model. The record is from RNAcentral. Lineage: Bacteria; Bacillati; Bacillota.